RNAcentral lists this ribosomal RNA (561 nucleotides) under uncultured bacterium. RNAcentral describes it as "bacterial SSU rRNA". It matches the Rfam family "Bacterial small subunit ribosomal RNA", at positions 338 to 916 of the family's 1533-position model. The record is from RNAcentral.
CCUACGGGAGGCAGCAGUGGGGAAUAUUGGACAAUGGGCGAAAGCCUGAUCCAGCAAUGCCGCGUGAGUGAUGAAGGCCUUCGGGUCGUAAAGCUCUUUUACCCGGGAUGAUAAUGACAGUACCGGGAGAAUAAGCUCCGGCUAACUCCGUGCCAGCAGCCGCGGUAAUACGGAGGGAGCUAGCGUUGUUCGGAAUUACUGGGCGUAAAGCGCACGUAGGCGGUUAUUCAAGUCAGAGGUGAAAGCCCGGGGCUCAACCCCGGAACUGCCUUUGAAACUAGAUGACUGGAAUCUUGGAGAGGUCAGUGGAAUUCCGAGUGUAGAGGUGAAAUUCGUAGAUAUUCGGAAGAACACCAGUGGCGAAGGCGACUGACUGGACAAGUAUUGACGCUGAGGUGCGAAAGCGUGGGGAGCAAACAGGAUUAGGUACCCUGGUAGUCCACGCCGUAAACGAUGAUAACUAGCUGUCCGGGUACUUGGUAUUUGGGUGGCGCAGCUAACGCAUUAAGUUAUCCGCCUGGGGAGUACGGUCGCAAGAUUAAAACUCAAAGGAAUUGACGG